This is a long non-coding RNA of Sander lucioperca (pikeperch), 133 nucleotides long. RefSeq lists it as uncharacterized. NCBI's taxonomy places the organism in Eukaryota, Metazoa, Chordata, Actinopteri, Perciformes, Percidae. The transcript is spliced from 3 exons. The record is from RefSeq and is a predicted model, not a curated record.
UAUUAUGCUUUUCCGUAUUUCUGUCAUAUCUAUAAUGUUACAAUGUCGGCUGUUCAUAUUAAACGUGGCCAAAGCUUUAAAUAAUAAGGUAAACCUAUUUAAAAGAAAUCCCUGUUAUGCAAAAACUCAGAUU